This 497-nucleotide ribosomal RNA is filed under the name uncultured bacterium. RNAcentral's name for it is "partial 16S ribosomal RNA". It matches the Rfam family "Bacterial small subunit ribosomal RNA", at positions 28 to 507 of the family's 1533-position model. The record is from RNAcentral.
GAUGAACGCUGGCGGCGUGCCUAAUACAUGCAAGUCGAGCGAACGGACGAGGAGCUUGCUCCUCUGACGUUAGCGGCGGACGGGUGAGUAACACGUGGAUAACCUACCUAUAAGACUGGGAUAACUUCGGGAAACCGGAGCUAAUACCGGAUAAUAUUUUGAACCGCAUGGUUCAAUAGUGAAAGACGGUUUUGCUGUCACUUAUAGAUGGAUCCGCGCCGCAUUAGCUAGUUGGUAAGGUAACGGCUUACCAAGGCAACGAUGCGUAGCCGACCUGAGAGGGUGAUCGGCCACACUGGAACUGAGACACGGUCCAGACUCCUACGGGAGGCAGCAGUAGGGAAUCUUCCGCAAUGGGCGAAAGCCUGACGGAGCAACGCCGCGUGAGUGAUGAAGGUCUUCGGAUCGUAAAACUCUGUUAUUAGGGAAGAACAAAUGUGUAAGUAACUAUGCACGUCUUGACGGUACCUAAUCAGAAAGCCACGGCUAACUACGUG